RNAcentral lists this ribosomal RNA (252 nucleotides) under uncultured bacterium. RNAcentral's name for it is "partial 16S ribosomal RNA". It matches the Rfam family "Bacterial small subunit ribosomal RNA", at positions 36 to 279 of the family's 1533-position model. The record is from RNAcentral.
GACGAACGACUGGCGGCGUGCUUAACACAUGCAAGUCGAGCGGUAAGGCCCUUUCGGGGGUACGACGAGCGGCGAACGGGUGAGUAACACGUGGGUGACCUGCCCUCAGCUCUGGGAUAAGCCUGGGAAACCGGUCUAAUACUGGAUAUGACUCCAUGACGCAUGUUGUGGGGUGGAAAAGCCUUGUGCGGCUGAGGAUGGGCCCGCGGCCUGUCAGCUUGUUGGUGGGGUGANGGCCUACCAAGGCGACGA